CCUGGACGGCGUCGCUGACGAACAGGAAGUGGCGGGACAUGGCCAGGGUUCCCUGAAUGGUGCUGCAGCAGGAAGAACGCGUCAUUUGGCUUGUAUCGUGAGGUACGCUUGGUCCAUAGAUGUUGUUGCUCCUGGUGAUGAUAAUUGGAAACUGGAAAAACAAAGUGACGUUAUUAAUCUCGAUAAGAUUAAAAAAAAUAAAAUGACAAACUCCAGACCUGAUACUUGUCCCAGUAGGACCUGACCAGAUACUCAGCAGCUGCUUUAGUAGCAGCGUACGGGUUGGUCGGCCUCAGCGGACAGCCCUCGUCAAAUGCCUGAAAGGAAAGAGAAACGCAAUCUAGUAUGGAAUCCGACCUGGUGGAAAAUAAAAAUGAAAACCUCACUGACCUCAUCCAGGCUGGUUCCGUACACUUCGUCCGUGCUGACGUAGACAAAGCGCUGCGGCUGGUGUCGAGCCCGAUGGGCGGCAUCCAGUAGAACCCUGGUUCCGUCGACGUUGACCCGCUGGAAAACGGAGGGGAUCUCGAACGAAGACUCUGGGGGGGAAAAAAGGAGCGUAUAAAGAACUGGACUGAACUGCUUAUGAAGUGAAAUCUGAACUGAGGCUGCUCACCAACAUGAGUUUUAGCUGCCAGGUGAAAGAUGACAUCAAUGUUUUCAGUGAUGAAGAUAUGAUUCACCAACUGUGGGUUACACACGUCUCCCUGUGCAGCAUGCAGACACAAAAUACAGGAUAUUUAUUUUAUUUCAUAUGCAAUU
This is a long non-coding RNA of Xiphophorus hellerii (green swordtail), 762 nucleotides long. RefSeq lists it as uncharacterized. NCBI's taxonomy places the organism in Eukaryota, Metazoa, Chordata, Actinopteri, Cyprinodontiformes, Poeciliidae. The transcript is spliced from 2 exons. The record is from RefSeq and is a predicted model, not a curated record.